CAGGCGCAUGCCACCACACCCGGCUAAUUUUUGUAUUUUUAGUAGAGACGGGGUUUCCCCAUGUUGGCCAGGAUGGUCUCGAACUCUUGAUCUCAUGGUCUGCCCACCUCCGCCUCCCAAAGUGCUGGGAUUACAAGUGUGAGCCACCGUGCCCGGCUCCUAAACAGUUUUUGUUUAUGUAGGUCCUAUCAAUAUUUGGUGUAUUAGGAAUUAAAACGGAAAAAAAUUAAUAUAUUUUAUUAAUAUAAUUUUUCAAAAUCUAUUCUAUGUUAAUAUAUAGGUUGAGCUGUGUCUCUUCCCAAAAUUGAUAUGUUGAAGUUCUAACCCAUAGUACCUCAGACCUUAUUUGGAGACAGUGUCUUUAAAGAGCUGAAAUGAGGUCAUUAGAGUGAGCCCUGGUCCAUUAUGACUGUUGUCCUUAUAAAAACAGAAAUUUGGAGACAGACAACUUGUCACGCAUACAGGGAAAAUGACAUUUGAAGACAAAGUCAGACAUCUACAAGCCAAGGAAUGCCAGAGAUUGCCAGCAAACCACCAAAAACUAAGGAAAGGGAUGGAACAUAUACUUUCUUGUAGCCCUCAGAAGGAACCAACUAUGCCAACACUUUGAUCUCAGACUUCUGGCUUCCACAACUGUAACAAUAAAUUUAUGUCGUUUAAGCCACCCCAUUUGUGGUAUGUUGUUACCAGAGCCCUCAUGACUAAUACAACAUAUUUUUUAAAAAGCACCUACUUUACGAAAAACAGCAUUUUCCAAAACAGAAAUAGGGAGAAGAGUGGCAUUGUAUUAUAUUUUUUCAAAUCUCCUUAAUGUCUGGCUUCACUUAAGGCAGUUGAGUUCCCAUAGCUCCAUGUUCCCAUUGCAUCUGUUACAAUAUGACUCAUCCAGCAGCCUCUGGAAAACUCUAUUGUAUAUUCCUAUGAAAAUGAGAGAGGAAUAGCACUGGGUAGUCCAGGAGAAUGGAAAAACCCAAACGACAACUAAAACAAGCAGUAGGCAAAGAAACCACAGAAUAACAAAACCCAAAAUAAGGGAGAGAAGACAGCCAAAACCCUGGUCAGGGUGACAGGUCCAUGACUCUUCCAGGCAAACCCAAAUAAGGGAGAAAGGGGGUGGUAACUGGGGUGGGGCAGGGGGAGGGUGGUGCCUGAAAUCCCCUCCUUUUCCAGAUACCGAAUGACUAUUCCACCCAUAAUUAAACACCCAUAAAAUGAGAAAUGCAAACAAUGUUGGGUGUGACUCAGGAGCCAGGAGCCCCCCCACACUUGUCUCCCGUGUUUCCUUUCACUUUGCAAUGAAAGCUUCUUGCCUUUCUGCUUACUCUGACUUAUCCCUGAAUUCUUUCCUGUGAUGGCUUCAAGAACCUGGACACCAACUGGCACUGGCAUCCGGUGACCUUCCUGAGCCCUCUGGCAACAAAAGAAAAAGCCAACAUCUCAUUAUUAUUAUGAAUUUAGUUUUGAACCCACCGAUCCCUUGAAAGGAUCUCAGGAACGCCCAGGGCUCCCUGACCCACACUUUAAGAACUACUGCAAUAGACAAACUCCUACCUUAUAAUCAAGGAGAUAAACAAGAACUAGAAAAGAAAAAAAAAAUAGGCUGGGCACCGUUUUUGUAAUUCCAGCACUUUGGGAGGCCAAGGCGGAUGGACUGCUUGAAAUCAGGAGCUCAAGACCAUCCUAGGCAACAUCACAAAACCCUGUCUCUACAAAAAAUACAAAAAUUAGCCAGGCAUGGUAGCAUGAGGCUGAGGUGGGAGAAUCCCUUGAGCCCAAGAGGUUGAAGCUGCAGUGAGCUGUGAUCACACCACUGCUCUCCAGAGUGGGCAACAGGUGAGACCCUGUCUCAAAAAAAAAAAAAAAAAAAGGAAAGAGGAAAUAAUAGGACAUCAAAAUCACAGAUUCCACACCAUUAGAACUAGGAGGAAAGCUGAGCCCAGUGACUGGCUCCAAAAUGAAUACACAGGGCCGGGUGCAGUGGCGCAUUCCUGUAAUCCCAGCACUUUCAGAGGCUGAGGCAGAUAAGAUUGCUUUGAGCUCUGGAGUUCAAGACCAGCCUGGGCAACAUGGCAAAAUCCAGUCUCUACAAAAAUUGGCCCAGUGUGGUGGCUCUCACCUGUGCUCCCAGCUACUCAGGAGGCUAAGGAUGCAGGAUCACUUGAGCCUGGGAAGUGGAGGUUACAAUGAGCCAAGAUUGCAGCACUGCAUUCCAGCUUGGACAACAGAGUGAGACCCUGUCUCAAAAAACAAAUAAACAACAAAAAAAGAACACACAGGUUUCCCCUAAAGAGAAUAGAUCUUUGCACACCUGCCCCUACCUCUCCAACACUGGUGGCCACUGUGCAGGGGAAGGCAAUAGAUCCUCCUAGUACCUUCUCUGCCUACAGAGAAGGGGAUGCUGCCUGGGAGCUUUUUGGGACUCCCAAUAGAAGACAGAUUUAGUCUCCUGGAAGGCUGCCUGAUCCAGUUCCCACAGCAGCUGCCACUUGCUCAGGUGAGUGAAGACAUCUGUCAAAAGUCAGAAUUUUAUUUUUAUUUUAUUUUAUUUUUGAGAUGGAGUCUCACUCUGUCGCCCAGGCUGGAGUGCAGUGGCGCAAUCUCAGCUAAUCGCAACCUCCGCCUCCCAGUUUCAAGCGAUUCUCCUGCCUCAGCCUCCUGAGUAUCUGGGAUUACAGGUGCCCGCCACCACACCUGGCUAAUUUUUGUAUUUGUAUUAGAGACAAGGUUUCACCAUGUUGGCCAGGGUGGUCUCAAACUCCUGACCUCAGGUGAUCCACCCACCUCAGCCUCCCAAAGUGCUGGGAUUCACUCACAGGCGUGAGCCACCACACCCAGCCAAAAGACAGAAUUUUAACAAAUUUGGUUAAAGAUCGAAUUGGCUUUUAUUUGUGAUUCAUGAAUCUGGGCAGCCUCCACUCUGCAAAACGGAAUGAGAGCUCCCACGGGGCAAAUGGUAGAAUAGUGGUUUUUGUAAGAUAGAGAAAAGGCUAAUUAGUUAACACUAGGUUACUUUUCUUGUAAGGAUUAAAGCAGAGGGGACUUCCUUAUUAUGCUGCUCAGGUAGACUGGAAAUCUGGUUUGUUUAGGGAUCUACCUGCUUAAAGUAUCAGUCUGAUUAUGUGGCAUUUAGCCUAAGUGACUCUGUCUUGGUUUGGUCUGGUCUCAUGAGGCCUAGAGCAGGAGCUCAGUCCAAAACCAUGUCCUCUCAUAAUUUUGUGUAACUUGCCUAACACCUGCUCCUUCUCAGGAACGAGGCCCAGCAAAAAGCAGAGACGGUACAGGGCCAGAAGGAUCUGAGAGAGUGUGGCCAGCUUGAGCCCUCAGGAGUCGGCCAGAAGGAUCUGAGAGAGUGUGGCCAGCUUGAGCCCCUCGGGAGUCAGCUCCUCCGUCCCCACUGGUAACGUCUUCACCCCUUCAACACGGUGUGAAGGGCCAUGUCAUGGUUGAUCUUCAGUCCCUCAGACUACACCAUCAGCCCCAUGGGGGUGAGCAAAUAACAAGUAACUAUACUGUUCCCUGCUAUGUGUCUGGCUCUUGGUAAAAUUUAAAAAAGUUAAAAAUUGUUGUGGUUUGAAUGCAACAUUUUUGAAUGGAAAUCUGCUUCCCCAUUUUUCUUUUUUAAUAACUUUUUAUUUUUUUUUUGAGACGGAGUCUUGCUCUGUCACCCAGGCUGGAGUGCAGUGGCCUGACCUCGGCUCACGGCAACCUCCGCCUCCCAGGUUCAAGCGAUUCUCCUGCCUCAGCCUCCCGAGAAGCUGGGACUACAGGUGCCCGCCACCACGCCGGGCUAAUUUUUGUAUUUUUAGUAGAGACGGGGUUUCACCAUAUUGGCCAGGUUGGUCUCGAGCUCCUGACAUCGUGAUCCACCCGCCUCGACUUCCCAAAGUGCUGGGAUUAUAGGCGUUAGCCACCGCGCCCGACCUUUAAUAAACAUUUUAAUGGACUACAACAGACCCACAGAAAAAGACACAUCACAAAGUGAACACCCACAGGGAGAAGCAAUAGGGCUGUCAGAGGCAUUCGACCCAGAGCGACUCCAUUUUGAGUGAGGGCUAGGAAAAUGAGGCUGGGCUGCAUUCCCAGAAAAGUAGGUAUUCCUAACCUCUAGAUGUUUACGGUUAAGGGAACAAAUUAAUA
This 4137-nucleotide long non-coding RNA is filed under the name Homo sapiens (human). RNAcentral describes it as "HSALNT0263036". The record is from RNAcentral. Lineage: Eukaryota; Metazoa; Chordata; Mammalia; Primates; Hominidae.